This 498-nucleotide ribosomal RNA is filed under the name uncultured bacterium. Its description in RNAcentral is "partial 16S ribosomal RNA". It matches the Rfam family "Bacterial small subunit ribosomal RNA", at positions 28 to 507 of the family's 1533-position model. The record is from RNAcentral.
GACGAACGCUGGCGGCGUGCCUAAUACAUGCAAGUCGAGCGGACGGAUGGGAGCUUGCUCCCAGACCGUCAGCGGCGGACGGGUGAGUAACACGUGGGCAACCUGCCUGUAAGACUGGGAUAACUCCGGGAAACCGGGGCUAAUACCGGAUAACUCUUUCCCUCACAUGAGGGAAAGCUGAAAGAUGGCAUCUCGCUAUCACUUACAGAUGGGCCCGCGGCGCAUUAGCUAGUUGGUGAGGUAACGGCUCACCAAGGCGACGAUGCGUAGCCGACCUGAGAGGGUGAUCGGCCACACUGGGACUGAGACACGGCCCAGACUCCUACGGGAGGCAGCAGUAGGGAAUCUUCCGCUAUGGACGAAAGUCUGACGGAGCAACGCCGCGUGAGUGAUGAAGGUUUUCGGAUCGUAAAACUCUGUUGUCAGGGAAGAACAAGUACCGGAGUAACUGCCGGUACCUUGACGGUACCUGACCAGAAAGCCACGGCUAACUACGUG